GUGAUUCAUGACUGGGGUGAAGUCGUAACAAGGUAACCGUAGGGGAACCUGCGGUUGGAUCACCUCCUUACCAAA
Molecule: ribosomal RNA, 75 nt
Filed under: Pectobacterium parmentieri
Lineage: Bacteria; Pseudomonadati; Pseudomonadota; Gammaproteobacteria; Enterobacterales; Pectobacteriaceae
Description: partial 16S ribosomal RNA
Rfam family: Bacterial small subunit ribosomal RNA
Source: RNAcentral